This 4198-nucleotide long non-coding RNA is filed under the name Sus scrofa (pig). RNAcentral describes it as "lncRNA (ENSSSCG00040038815.1)". Lineage: Eukaryota; Metazoa; Chordata; Mammalia; Artiodactyla; Suidae. The record is from RNAcentral.
CUGUCCUGAACCUUCCUUCUCAGUUUAUUUAUUUAUUUUCUCCCAUUCUAGAACAGCCAGCAAAUGAUUUCACACCUUUUUGUUUAGCUGCUAAAAGCAACACAAUAACUCCCCUCAGGGCUGCCUCUGUGGGUUCCAAAAAUAAAAUGGGCUCAUUUUCAUGCUAAGUGUGCAGAGACUCACAGGGAUUCUAAUGAAAGGCAAAGGAAAGAAAGAAAGAAGGAAAAAAGAGGGAUCAGGUUGGGAGAUGUCACUGAGGGGGAGUCAGCUUCUACCUAGAGUUACCAGCCACCACUCCCUGCCCCCACCAGAAGGGACAGUCACAACAGAUCGUUCUGCCACAAAUUAAAAGGCGAUCUAAUUCAACCCUUAAACUCUCCAGCCUUAUCUUCUGUUCCUAAACCCAGGGUUAUUUUUGGAACACAGGCUGAGUUCCUGUCCUGGCGCAGCAGAAACGAAUUCGACUGGGAACCAUGAGGUGGAGUGAGGGUUCCAUCCCUGGCCUCGCUCAGUGGGUUAAGGAUCUGGCGUUGCCGUGAGCUGUGGUGUAGGUCAAGACUCAGCUCAGAUCUGGGGUUGCUGUGACUGUGGUGCAGGCCAGCAGCAACAGUUCUGAUUAGACCCCUAGCCUGGGAACCUCCAUAUGCCACAGAUAUGGCCCUAAAAACACAAAAAGACAAAAUAAAUAAAUAAAUAAAAACAUCUUAAAAAAAGAACACUAUGUGAUACAAAUCCUACACAUUAGGCGCCUGAAAUUAGGCCAGCCUGGAAUUCGUGAAAAGCUUUCCACGAGACCUUGCCAGAAAGUGUGUGUGCUCCCCACCUGUAAUGAGAGGAACAUCGCCAACUGGUGGUCUGCCUGCCUGAAAGUUAAGCCUCCAGUGACAGCCCCUGCUUGUUGUAUUUCCAAGCAGACCUUUGCUUUUCGAUGAGGGCCGAUUGGGUGUUUGGAUGAGGGCAGAUUCCCUCUAUUUUAGGAGCUAAAAUCUGCCUCCCACUUGCUUCUGCUCAUCACUUCUAGAUUUGUCCCAGGGCUCCUGCAGCCCAGAAUCUUUUCAGGAGAAACUUUCAAGUAUUUGAUGACAAUGGCCAAGACUUGCAUCCUCUUCCCCUUCAGUUAGGCCUUCCCACCUCUUCUUCUAACACAGUUUCCAGUUGCUUCCCUAGGAUUGAUGCAAUUUGUCCAGUGUCCCUUUCACAGCACAGCCUCAGAAAUGGAAGGAAUAACUCCCUGAGCUGAAGAACAUGCAGUUCACGCAGGCUGUGCUCACCUAAACCAUUUCUUUCAGCAGAUGUGUUAUGCUGUGGAAUCAUAUUCCUUUUCAAGAUCUGUGAAAUAAAGAUGUGCUAAGCCAACUGUAAAUGGGAUUGCUCAGAAAACCUAAAUGCUACGGAAAAGAACACAGUUUUUAAGUAGUAUUUUUAAAGGAUCUGCUUACAGAUUCUUGACAUGCAAAUUAUGUCCUUAUUUUUUUCACUAAAGCAGAGACCCAAAGUGUCUUCACUUGGGCAACCUAAAAGAAUGACUGUAUCUUGAGUAUUUGCAACUUUCCUAAUUAUAUUUCUUUAAAAUUAUUCUGUGAUUCAGACUUGCUGUUCAGGGAAUCAUAGAGUGUUUAGAAAUGGAAAGACAUAGAAAGACUGUCAGAUCCAGUCACAAACUUUAGGGAAGAUAUAUUACCCCAUUUUAUGUAUUUAUUCAGAAUGCAUUCACCAAAUGCUGUGUGUGUUUUCUGGACUAAUUCGGGGGUUAAAAAUAUAGUCCCCUUCUUUCAUGAAGUUAAUAUCCCCAUGGGGGACCAGAGAAGCAAAAUUUCAAAUAAUUUCAUGUAGCGAUCAUUAAGUGCUAUGAAAAAAAAUGAAAUAGGCCUGUGAUAGAGAUGAAGUCGGGGAAGAUAAAUUUUAGGAGGGAACACUGGACCCAACUGUCAAGAAGGUUUUAACUACAACAGAAUAUGGAGGGAACAUCUUCCAAACUAUGGAAACAGCACAUGCAAAGGCCCCGAGGUAGAUAUAAACUUGAUGUGUUCUGAGAAGUUAAACUAGGCCAGUACAGCUGGCAAAUAUUAAUAGAAGAAGAAAGUGAUAGCAGAGGAAGUCAAAGAGGAAAGUAGACAGGGGCCAGACUGCAUGGAGUCUCAAAGGCUGGGGUGAAGUUUGGGUUGUAUUCGCAGUAAGAAGCCAUUGGAGGGUUUCAGGUAGGAGAAUGGCAUGAUUUAAUACACAUUUUUGGAACGUUCUCUCUGCCUAUUCUGCCAGGAUGGAGAGAAAGCAAUUAGGAAGCUAUUGCAACGGCCUUGGUGAGAGAAGCCAAUAGUUUGUACUGCCUUGGUGGGGGGUAGACAGAAGGGGACAAAUUCUGGAUAUUCUUUGGAGGUAGAACCAAUAGGACUUAGUAAGAGAGAAACAAGUGGAGUCCAAGGAAGCUUAAAUGACUUGCCUAAAAGGAGAGAAGGAGACAAAUAUCAAGUACUUUAAUGUUAAUCCUAAUAAUUCUGUGAAAGUUAUUAUUUUACCUACAUUUUAUAUAUUAGGGCCCUGAUGUUCAGCGAAGCUAAGUAAUUACCUCCAAAUCAAACACAGGGUCAGAUGAAGCUAGCAUUCAAACUCAGGACUCUCUGACACCAUAUUUCAUAGCCUCUUCCCACUAUAUCGCUAUACUAUACUCUGGUAUAUUGUUUUACUGCAUUGCUUCCAAAGCAGUGGUAGAGAAGGAAUUUGAACACAGACUCCUGGGGAAGUGCUCUUUCUACAUAUCUUUUUGCCCAAGUUACUGAUGCUUAAUGAGAUUUUUAAGCCCGUAUCAUGAUUUGCCAUAUACCCACCCCCACCAUGUGUCAUCAUAAAUUUAACCAUAACCAAUGGGAGGCUUCUUACUCCCAUUUCUUCUGCCCCCACCACCCCCAAGUCUGGGUCAGCUCUUCUCUAUGCAGCUUAACUACCAGAGACCUAAGCCCACUUCUCUUCCUAAGGAGCUGUAGCUGGAAAUUGCUUGUGCAACCCGCUGACAACUUAGCUAUAUUUAGCAGAAAAAGUGAUGGGAAGGAUCUGUCCAGCUCAAUUUUUUUUACAGUCUCCAUGUUCAGAAUCUCCCAGACAGUCUCCCGAAAGGCGCAUUGGCCCUGACAGUAUCUGAGUGGAAAGAAGCUUCCUCCAUCGCACCAGGUCAUCUUCUGGAAGCCUUGUUCCAAGAAAGGACACAGAUAUCCAUGGCAGAGUAAAGACAUUCUACGCUCAACACUCCCCUUUAUCCCCCAAAUGAAGAGCUUCUGGCACUUCGGGUGCUUUGAUGGCUUUUGAGUGUUAUUCUAAGGCAGGAAAACAAGCAUGAAAGGUUUAAAGGGGAAAUGGACUAUUACCUACUUGCUUAUGUGUUUAAGUGAUAUGUAGGGCACUUGGUUUUUAUUUCUUUUCAAUGUGGCAUGGAAAAGAAAUACCAAGUGCUGCUUAUGGUUUAAGAACAAAGAUACACUUGCUUUGGGUUGGGGGUGUGUGAAAAAAUUAUAGCAGGUAUUCUCAAGUGUUUCCAAUGACAAAAUUACUGUCAUGCAGGCUGACUAUCGCUUAUACUUUAAGUGACUAAUUUGAGCCUGAGACACAGUUUAACUUUGCUCGAGCCAGAUGAAACCAGAGAUCGUCUAUUGUCCGUGACUCUGACCCUCUUCACUGCUGGUCAACCAGAGAGAAUUCUCUAUUAGUGAAAAGCAGAACAAUUAAGAACUAAGAAUAGAGGAACAUAGAGACCAUUAAAGAAAAAUGGAAAAUUUUAAGACAGUCAGACAGCGCCAAUUGUAUCACAAAAAGGAAAUUUACAAGGAAAAAAAUUAUAGCCAGAGAGCACUAACUUAUAGCCCUCUACUUUUUAACAUGCAAGAUGUAUCAAUCUUUGGUUGUCAAGGAAAAAAAAAAGCUAUUGCAAAAGAAUUCUUAAUAGCUUUAGAAUAGAAAUUUUAAGAGGUAGUUUUUUAUACCUUCUUCCAGUCCCCAACCUCAUUUUGGGUUAAAUCUUAUUCAGGGGAAAAGCACUUGGUUUGGAAAUGUCCUUUCUCAUUUUCGCAAAAUCUCUUCUAAUGAGACGAGUUUUAGUGUUGCUGUGUCUAUAAAGGAAAAGAGGUGAAGAAAUAGAAAAUCCGCUAUUGUACCAUUUCACUUCUUGACACUAAAGCUUCCAAUACCCUACUUUCAAAAGUUAAUUAAC